CCUACGGGGGGCAGCAGUGGGGGAUAUUGCACAAUGGGGGGAACCCUGAUGCAGCGACGCCGCGUGGGUGAAGGAGUGCUUCGGCAUGUAAAGCCCUAUCGGCAGGGAAGAAGCAAGACGGUACCUGACUAAGAUGCCCCGGCUAACGACGUGCCCGCAGCCGCGGUAAUACGUAGGGGGCGAGCGUUAUCCGGAUUCAAUGGGUGUAAAGGGAGCAUAGACGGCCAUGCAAGCCAGGGGUGAAAGCCCGGGGCCCAACCCCGGGACUGCCCUUGAAACUGUGCGGCUAGAGUGCGGGAGGGGCAGGCGGAAUUCCUGGUGUAGCGGUGAAAUGCGUAGAUAUCAGGAGGAACACCGGCGGCGAAGGCGGCCUGCUGGACCGCGACUGACGUUGAGGCUCGAAAGCGUGGGGAGCGAACAGGAUUAGAUACCCUGGUAGUC
This 441-nucleotide ribosomal RNA is filed under the name uncultured bacterium. RNAcentral describes it as "partial 16S ribosomal RNA". It matches the Rfam family "Bacterial small subunit ribosomal RNA", at positions 338 to 795 of the family's 1533-position model. The record is from RNAcentral.